GUAGACUGCGAAGCAUCUGCAAAAUUACAAAAGAUCACUUCUCACAUUCUCCUCAAUCAGAUCCAAUGGUAACAUAAAUAAUCCCAGCUAAUUAAGAAGCAAGCAACGUACUAGGAAUAUAGAUUCCUUUGACUACACUAUAAAUUCAAUGAAAUAAUGGUAUGCCCAAUACACAGGCAUUCUUUUCUGAAGUAGCUGCUAAACCCCUGGCCUCUUUUGCCUAGAUGUUGAAUUCGAAACUAUGCACAACCCAAGGAAGCUUUAUGUAAAAUCAAACUUCCCUAUAUUCGUGAUUGUUCGCCUUUAAAAUCUGCAAAAGAAUCAUCAAGAAGAUGCCCUGAAUUCAAUUUAUAAUAUAUUUAUCCCUUAAUACAAUUUGUUGAAUCCAGAAGGCGGCGAAGAUUCACCCAAUAUUGGGAAGAAAACCUCCCUUUCAAGUGUCAUGACCUUGACUAAUGAUACCCAGACAAAAGGUGCACAGCAGAAAGCGUAGCAGAAGACUGCUAAAGCUCUUAUAACCCCAUCAGGGUACCAAGGACAUGCCAUGACCAGAAGUGCUCCAAACAUCCCUAACCAUGGAGUCAAGACAUGCAACAAUGGCAGCGUAAACGUGUUGAUCGCUACAGAGCAAAGCGCGAAUGAGCCAAGCAAGUAUACUGCCCAACCUACAACUGGGUGAAUUGUACAAGGAAUAAUAAAGAAGGGGAGUACAUAGGCUACUAGGAUUGACCAUAUCGCUAGCAAUUUCAAACCAGCAUGUACCAAGGAGAUGUUCUUGUCUGUUCGCCGGUAGCAAAGCUUGGAGAGAUUUGGUCGAGCUAGGCGAGUCACGGCAAUUAUUCCUAGGUAUAAUAGAGUCUGAAUAAAUACCAUGGGUAUCUCUGCUCCGUAUCCGAGAUUUUGACGGCGUUGUUCAUGCCAUUGAAGGCCUAGUGGCAGAACAGGCCAUGACCACCAGUACCAUGGUUUCAACCAUGGUGCACCUGGGAAAGUAAUUACGCUAUUAGGCCCGCAGGGUACAUUCCACCGGAGUCUGAGAUAAUAAUAAGUGGCAUCCAUUUGGUAGCCUAAAGGAAGUCUGUAAGAUCCUUCAAGUUUAGUGCCAUUAGGAGGAGGAUAGAACAUCGGCUUGUCAAGCAGGUCCGGAAAGUAGCCACCAAUAAAACCCUGGUCUGCACCAUCAGGGUUAUCUUGUCCGACAUCCAACUGAUGAAGCAUGUCCUUAAACACCACCGUUGAUGGCUGUAACACGAAGAGCCCAGUAUGGAAAAUGCAGGGGUUGAUGAAGACUGCACAGAAUUGUCCACAUUGGAACAACUCGUCAGUGUUUUGGAGGAAGAGGUUAUCAGCAUCAAGCAUAACCACUCUGUCAUAGUCCACCAGACUCCACGCAUAGAGUUUAUUCAGCGUUAACUUAAAUCUUCUGUCAAAAUUGUCUUGGUUCUUGUACGGAUUAUUCACAUUUUCAACUCGUAUCACCUUCGCUCCGUCUUCCUGUUCCAGGGCAUGAACCCAACGGAGGGGGACGUCGACGGCGGCAAUGACGACGAGAUCAGCGUCCACGUGGAGUCUAGCAAGGGAUCUGAUCAUGACACGUAUAGCUACGUAGAACUCGUAGUCCCUUGGAGUCCCCAUGUACAUCAUCGUUGCAUAGGCGUUUCUGUGACGCUGUCGCUGGUCCUGCUGUUGUUCUUGCUGCUGGUGCUGCGUCCUGAUCUCUCCAUACGCCGUCGUUUUAUAAACAGCCAAAAUGAAUAGUAGCAGAAGCCUCAACAACCAAGGGUUUAUCUUCCUAUCUCUGAAACUCCAAGCCAUUGGUUUUCCUUUGUGGGUUUUAAACAUAAAAAAACAAGUAAUGGACACUUAAAGGCAAUAUCUUCGUCUUUAAUGAGAUAAGUAUUGAAUAUAAAUAUCUACGUAAUCUCUCUCUGGGUUGGUCUUAGCUUUUUGCUUUUAAGGCAAUGGGUAUUGGAAAAUCCAUUCAUAUAUAUAAUGGAAGAAGGAGAGAGAGAGAAGGGUGAGCUUGGAAAAUGGAAAGCAAACGGAAGCACAGGAGGAAAGCACUUGUAAAGAAGAGGUUAUGUAGCAUAAGAGACAAUUCGUUGGCUUCUUUAAUCGCCUCCACGAAGAUGAGGACUUUAACAAAGGGUUGUAACUAUGGAGAUUAAUAUUU
RNAcentral lists this unclassified non-coding RNA (2173 nucleotides) under Hevea brasiliensis (rubber tree). Lineage: Eukaryota; Viridiplantae; Streptophyta; Magnoliopsida; Malpighiales; Euphorbiaceae. The record is from RNAcentral.